RNAcentral lists this ribosomal RNA (470 nucleotides) under uncultured bacterium. RNAcentral describes it as "bacterial SSU rRNA". It matches the Rfam family "Bacterial small subunit ribosomal RNA", at positions 29 to 485 of the family's 1533-position model. The record is from RNAcentral.
AAUGAACGCUGGCGGCAGGCUUAACACAUGCAAGUCGAACGGAAACGAUGAAAAGCUUGCUUUUCAGGCGUCGAGUGGCGGACGGGUGAGUAACGCGUGGGAAUCUACCCAAUAGUCGGGGACAACAUAUGGAAACGUAUGCUAAUACCGGAUGUGAUCUACGGAUUAAAGGAGGCCUCUUCUUGAAAGCUUUCGCUAUUGGAUGAGCCCGCGUGAGAUUAGCUAGUUGGUAAGGUAAGAGCUUACCAAGGCAACGAUCUCUAGCUGGUUUGAGAGGAUGAUCAGCCACACUGGGACUGAGACACGGCCCAGACUCCUACGGGAGGCAGCAGUGGGGAAUAUUGCACAAUGAGGGAAACCUUGAUGCAGCCAUGCCGCGUGUGUGAAGAAGGCCCGAGGGUUGUAAAGCACUUUCAAUUGUGAGGAAGAUAAUGUCGUUAAUAACGGCAUUGUUUGACGUUAACUUUAGA